GCGGAGAUUACCGCGGCCAUUGGCGGCCGCAAAGGCUGGUGGUGUGGUGGUCUAUCGCGGCGGCGGCGCUAGGGACUCGAUCGUGGUCUGUUUCCUGAUGCCCUCGAUGGCUUAUGAUCUCGACGAACACAAUACGUUGUGGUCAACACGUCAAGUCGUAACUCGUAACCGACUCGGAAUCUAGCCCUUUGAAGUCGGUUCUUUGGCGGCAGGGACGGACACGGACCCAGCAAAGGCACCUGGGGGCUCCGGGAGAGACGCACACACACCCGUCGCCGGACGGGCGGCCCAGUCUGGGAUUGUUCGCCCCCGGGAGAACGCACGCGAGUUUUCUGCUGGGCCGUUUUUAUUCACACGUUACCUACUUUCUUUUAUAAUAACUUAAUUUUUUUUUGUUUUCUCUUUCACUUUUAGUUUUCUCCUUGAUUUCGUAUCUAUCCUCUCCAAGGUCUCUAUCAGUGGCUAUAGUACAACAUUAGUUUUAAAUAAGAGAAACAAUAAUAGUAUUUAUUACUAGUUGCAAAUAAGCAUAUGAAGUUUUCUUGACUGGAGCGUAGGUCAAUUUCACAAACCUAGAAUAUUUUUCAUGUAAAUCUAUAAUAUUUUUUCUACAAUAGAAAUGAUUUUCUCUUUUCUGACAAUUUGCAAGUGAACAUGAAAUAUUUUUUUAACUAAACAUAGAACAAUGGUUCCCGUGAAUCAGUAAAAUUGAUAUGCUCAACAAAAGAAAAUUAUGGACUCACUAAAAAGUGUUUUAGGUGCUCCAACGAGGACAACUAAAGAGCAUCGACACUUCCAUAUCUUGUGAGAAAACUGAGUAUUCCUAUCACUCUUUGUGCAUUCUGCAGUUCACUUUCUAGAAUUUUUAUCCUAGAGUAUGAUUAAAACCUAGGUUGCAAAACAUUUUUAGAAUAGUCACACUUUUGUCAAUCUAGGCAAAUCCAGCUAAACUAAGGGUAGGCAAUGAGAACAUUGA
RNAcentral lists this long non-coding RNA (976 nucleotides) under Sorghum bicolor (sorghum). RNAcentral describes it as "long non-coding RNA (SBIC_LNC013249)". Lineage: Eukaryota; Viridiplantae; Streptophyta; Magnoliopsida; Poales; Poaceae. The record is from RNAcentral.